This 342-nucleotide ribosomal RNA is filed under the name uncultured bacterium. Its description in RNAcentral is "bacterial SSU rRNA". It matches the Rfam family "Bacterial small subunit ribosomal RNA", at positions 569 to 913 of the family's 1533-position model. The record is from RNAcentral.
GCGUAGGUGGGCUAGUAAGUCCGUGGUGAAAUCUCCAAGCUUAACUUGGAAACUGCCGUGGAUACUAUUAGUCUUGAAUAUUGUGGAGGUAAGCGGAAUAUGUCAUGUAGCGGUGAAAUGCUUAGAUAUGACAUAGAACACCGAUAGCGAAGGCAGCUUGCUACACAAUCAUUGACACUGAGGCACGAAAGCGUGGGGAUCAAACAGGAUUAGAUACCCUGGUAGUCCACGCCCUAAACGAUGGAUACUCGACAUACGCGAUACACAGUGUGUGUCUGAGCGAAAGCAUUAAGUAUCCCACCUGGGAAGUACGACCGCAAGGUUGAAACUCAAAGGAAUUGG